UACGAAGGGGGCUAGCGUUGUUCGGAAUCACUGGGCGUAAAGGGCGCGUAGGCGGCUGUUCAAGUCGGGGGUGAAAGCCUGUGGCUCAACCCCAGAAUGGCCUUCGAUACUGGACGGCUCGAGACCGGAAGAGGUAAGUGGAACUGCGAGUGUAGAGGUGAAAUUCGUAGAUAUUCGCAAGAACACCAGUGGCGAAGGCGGCUUUCUGGGCCGGUUCUGACGCUGAGGCGCGAAAGCGUGGGGAGCAAACAGG
Molecule: ribosomal RNA, 253 nt
Filed under: uncultured bacterium
Lineage: Bacteria
Description: partial 16S ribosomal RNA
Rfam family: Bacterial small subunit ribosomal RNA
Source: RNAcentral